This is a long non-coding RNA of Nicotiana attenuata, 748 nucleotides long. RefSeq lists it as uncharacterized. Lineage: Eukaryota; Viridiplantae; Streptophyta; Magnoliopsida; Solanales; Solanaceae. The transcript is spliced from 2 exons. The record is from RefSeq and is a predicted model, not a curated record.
CCCUAAGACCUAAAAAGAUAGAAAAACCAGAGAUUUUUGGAGAUCUUAGACCUCCACCAUCAGAGAAAAGAGCGGCGCAACCAAGGGCUCCGGUUCUUCUCUUUUUUUUUUUUUUUUUGAAAUUCUUGUUCUCCAGUAGCCAACAGACCCUACUCUCUCAAGAACAAAAAUCAGCUCAAACUUAACUCCUAAAUCCCAGCGAAAUAGCCACCUAAAUGCCGUAAACCUCAGAUUUCCAAUUCAUUGGUUUAAUCCGAUCCCUUCCCCAAAAAUAAUGAUUUAAUUUUCUAGCUUAAAAAAACGGGACAGAGAAAACAAAUCUGAGCAGUGAGAGAAACAUAGGGACACAAAAAAAAAAAAACGAGAGAGCUAAAAAUGUUCCUUCUGUGUCGAGCUGUGCUGGGAUGUUUGCUGCUCGUUUCGGAGAGUAAUUUUCUGUUUUCCUUAAUCUCUUGAAAUCAGGAUCUGAGGCAGGUACAUCUAGUUAUCAGUCUGGUGCGCACGCUGGACUCCUGGUACAAGAAUAUACGGUGAGCUGCCCUUCCGAGCCGUUUUGCAGCAGGCUAAGUCUCUUUUUGUUAUAUUUUUCUGUCUAUUUCAUUUCAGACAGUAGACUAGUAUUCUUUUGUAUAUUCUACUAGAAUGUCCAUACACUUGUGACACCGAGUCGUGACACACACUAGUAGACUUAUGAUUUUGGGGUGAUUUUUACAGUUGUAAUUGCAUUUAGCUGCUUUCAUUUUGAUUA